CUACGGGGGGCUGCAGUAAGGAAUAUUGCGCAAUGGAGGCAACUCUGACGCAGCCAUGCCACGUGCAGGAAGAAGGCCUUAUGGGUCGUAAACUGCUUUUAUUUAGGAAUAAACCCCCGAACGUGUUCGGGGCUGAAGGUACUAAACGAAUAAGCACCGGCUAACUCCGUGCCAGCAGCCGCGGUAAUACGGAGGGUGCAAGCGUUAUCCGGAUUUGUUGGGUUUAAAGGGUGCGCAGGCGGGCUAUUAAGUCAGUGGUGAAAUCCCGGGGCUCAACUCCGGAACUGCCAUUGAUACUGAUAGUCUUGAGUUUGGUUGAAGUGGGCGGAAUGUAGCAUGUAGCGGUGAAAUGCAUAGAUAUGCUACAGAACACCAAUCGCGAAGGCAGCUCACUAAGCCAAAACUGACGCUCAUGCACGAAAGCGUGGGGAUCAAACAGGAUUAGAUACCCUCGUAGUC
Molecule: ribosomal RNA, 459 nt
Filed under: uncultured bacterium
Lineage: Bacteria
Description: partial 16S ribosomal RNA
Rfam family: Bacterial small subunit ribosomal RNA
Source: RNAcentral